This 69-nucleotide transfer RNA is filed under the name Micaelamys namaquensis (Namaqua Micaelamys). RNAcentral's name for it is "tRNA-Glu". It matches the Rfam family "tRNA". From Rfam's summary of the family: Transfer RNA (tRNA) molecules are approximately 80 nucleotides in length. Lineage: Eukaryota; Metazoa; Chordata; Mammalia; Rodentia; Muridae. The record is from RNAcentral.
GUUUUUAUAGUUGAAUUACAACGAUGAUUUUUCAUGUCAUAGGUCACGGUUAAAUUCUGUGUAAAAAUA